This 404-nucleotide ribosomal RNA is filed under the name uncultured bacterium. RNAcentral's name for it is "bacterial SSU rRNA". It matches the Rfam family "Bacterial small subunit ribosomal RNA", at positions 355 to 776 of the family's 1533-position model. The record is from RNAcentral.
UAGGGAAUUUUCCGCAAUGGGCGCAAGCCUGACGGAGCAACGCCGCGUGAGGGAUGAAGGUUUUCGGAUCGUAAACCUCUGUCUUCAGGGACGAUAAUGACGGUACCUGAGGAGGAAGCCACGGCUAACUACGUGCCAGCAGCCGCGGUAAUACGUAGGUGGCGAGCGUUGUCCGGAAUUACUGGGCGUAAAGGGCGUGUAGGCGGCCUUUUAAGUCAGAUGUGAAAUCUCAGGGCUUAACCCUGAAACUGCAUUUGAAACUGGAGGGCUUGAGGAUCGGAGAGGGCAGUGGAAUUCCCAGUGUAGCGGUGAAAUGCGUAGAUAUUGGGAGGAACACCAGUGGCGAAGGCGACUGCCUGGACGACACCUGACGCUGAGGCGCGAAAGCUAGGGGAGCGAACGGG